UACGUAGGGGGCAAGCGUUGUCCGGAUUUAUUGGGCGUAAAGAGCUCGUAGGCGGUUCCGUAAGUCGAGUGUGAAAAAUCUGGGCUCAACCCAGUGGAGCACUCGAUACUGCGGUGACUAGAGUACGGUAGAGGAGUGUGGAAUUCCUGGUGUAGCGGUGAAAUGCGCAGAUAUCAGGAGGAACACCAACGGCGAAGGCAGCACUCUGGGCCGGUACUGACGCUGAGGAGCGAAAGCGUGGGGAGCGAACAGG
RNAcentral lists this ribosomal RNA (253 nucleotides) under uncultured bacterium. RNAcentral describes it as "partial 16S ribosomal RNA". It matches the Rfam family "Bacterial small subunit ribosomal RNA", at positions 524 to 776 of the family's 1533-position model. The record is from RNAcentral.